GACGAACGCUGGCGGCGUGCCUAAUACAUGCAAGUCGAACGCAGUGGGGACGGGUGAGUAACACGUGGGUAACCUCCCAUCAGAGGGGAUAACACUUGGAAACAGGUGCUAAACCGAUACUGAUGGAUGAACCCGCGGUGCAUUAGCUAGUUGGUGAGGUAACGGCUCACCAAGGCCACGAUGCAUAGCCGACCUGAGAGGGGGAGCGGCCACACUGGGACUGAGACACGGCCCAGACUCCUACGGGAGGCAGCAGUAGGGAAUAUUCGGCAAUGGGCGCAAGUCUGAGCGAGCAAUGCCGCGUGAGUGAAGAAGGUUUUCGGAUCGUAAAGCUCUGUUGUUAGAGAAGCGGUAUCUAAAGAAGAAGCCACGGCUAACUACGUGCCAGCAGCCGCGGUAAUAC
Molecule: ribosomal RNA, 403 nt
Filed under: uncultured bacterium
Lineage: Bacteria
Description: partial 16S ribosomal RNA
Rfam family: Bacterial small subunit ribosomal RNA
Source: RNAcentral